UCUACGGGAGGCAGCAGUAGGGAAUUUUCGGCAAUGGGGGAAAUCCUGACCGAGCAACGCCGCGUGAAGGAAGAAGGACUUCGUUCUGUAAACCUCUGUUAUAAAGGAAGAAAGACGGAUGGAGGAAAUGACAUUCCAUUUACGGUACCUUACGAGAAAGCCACGGCUAACUACGUGCCAGCCGCCGCGGUAAUACGUAGGUGGCAAGCGUUAUCCGGAAUUAUUGGGCGAAAAGCGGGAGCAGGCGGCAGCAAAGGUCUGUGGUGAAAGACUGAAGCUUAACUUCAGUAAGCCAUAGAAACCGGGCAGCUAGAGUGCAGGAGAGGAUCGUGGAAUUCCAGGUGUAGCGGUGAAAUGCGUAGAUAUAUGGAGGAACACCAGUGGCGAAGGCGACGAUCUGGCCUGCAACUGACGCUCAGUCCCGAAAGCGUGGGGAGCAAAUAGGAUUAGAUACCCCUGUAGUC
RNAcentral lists this ribosomal RNA (464 nucleotides) under uncultured bacterium. RNAcentral's name for it is "partial 16S ribosomal RNA". It matches the Rfam family "Bacterial small subunit ribosomal RNA", at positions 338 to 795 of the family's 1533-position model. The record is from RNAcentral.